Molecule: ribosomal RNA, 253 nt
Filed under: uncultured bacterium
Lineage: Bacteria
Description: partial 16S ribosomal RNA
Rfam family: Bacterial small subunit ribosomal RNA
Source: RNAcentral
UACGGAGGGUGCAAGCGUUAUCCGGAUUCACUGGGUUUAAAGGGUGCGUAGGCGGGCUAGUAAGUCCGUGGUGAAAUCCCCGAGCUUAACUCGGGAACUGCCGUGGAUACUAUUAGUCUUGAAUAUCGUGGAGGUAAGCGGAAUAUGUCAUGUAGCGGUGAAAUGCUUAGAUAUGACAUAGAACACCGAUAGCGGAGGCAGCUUACUACGCGAUUAUUGACGCUGAGGCACGAAAGCGUGGGGAGCAAACAGG